This 497-nucleotide ribosomal RNA is filed under the name uncultured bacterium. Its description in RNAcentral is "partial 16S ribosomal RNA". It matches the Rfam family "Bacterial small subunit ribosomal RNA", at positions 28 to 507 of the family's 1533-position model. The record is from RNAcentral.
GAUGAACGCUGGCGGCGUGCCUAAUACAUGCAAGUCGAGCGAACAGACGAGGAGCUUGCUCCUCUGACGUUAGCGGCGGACGGGUGAGUAACACGUGGAUAACCUACCUAUAAGACUGGGAUAACUUCGGGAAACCGGAGCUAAUACCGGAUAAUAUAUUGAACCGCAUGGUUCAAUAGUGAAAGACGGUUUUGCUGUCACUUAUAGAUGGAUCCGCGCUGCAUUAGCUAGUUGGUAAGGUAACGGCUUACCAAGGCAACGAUGCGUAGCCGACCGGAGAGGGGGAUCGGCCACACUGGAACGGAGACACGGACCAGACUCCUACGGGAGGCAGCAGUAGGGAAUCUUCCGCAAUGGGCGAAAGCCUGACGGAGCAACGCCGAGUGAGUGAUGAAGGUCUUCGGAUCGUAAAACUCUGUUAUUAGGGAAGAACAAAUGUGUAAGUAACUAUGCACGUCUUGACGGUACCUAAUCAGAAAGCCACGGCUAACUACGUG